This 253-nucleotide ribosomal RNA is filed under the name uncultured bacterium. RNAcentral describes it as "partial 16S ribosomal RNA". It matches the Rfam family "Bacterial small subunit ribosomal RNA", at positions 524 to 776 of the family's 1533-position model. The record is from RNAcentral.
UACGUAGGGCGCAAGCGUUAUCCGGAAUUAUUGGGCGUAAAGAGCUCGUAGGCGGUUUGUCGCGUCUGCCGUGAAAGUCCGGGGCUCAACUCCGGAUCUGCGGUGGGUACGGGCAGACUAGAGUGAUGUAGGGGAGACUGGAAUUCCAGGUGUAGCGGUGAAAUGCGUAGAUAUCUGGAGGAACACCGGUGGCGAAGGCGGCAUCCUGGACCAUUACUGACGCUGAGGAGCGAAAGCCAGGGGAGCAAACGGG